This 82-nucleotide transfer RNA is filed under the name Pseudomonadota bacterium. RNAcentral's name for it is "tRNA-Leu". It matches the Rfam family "tRNA". From Rfam's summary of the family: Transfer RNA (tRNA) molecules are approximately 80 nucleotides in length. Their secondary structure includes four short double-helical elements and three loops (D, anti-codon, and T loops). Lineage: Bacteria; Pseudomonadati; Pseudomonadota. RNAcentral also lists the same sequence under 3 other names. The record is from RNAcentral.
GCGAGAGUGGCGGAACUGGCAGACGCACCAGACUUAGGAUCUGGCGCCGAAAGGCUUAAGGGUUCGACUCCCUUCUCUCGCA